RNAcentral lists this ribosomal RNA (395 nucleotides) under Cladispa amboroensis. RNAcentral's name for it is "SSU rRNA". It matches the Rfam family "Eukaryotic small subunit ribosomal RNA", at positions 602 to 955 of the family's 1831-position model. Lineage: Eukaryota; Metazoa; Arthropoda; Insecta; Coleoptera; Chrysomelidae. The record is from RNAcentral.
UAUUAAAGUUGUUGCGGUUGAAAAGCUCGUAGUCGAAUUUGUGUCCCGCGCCGCCGGUUCAUCGUACGCGGUGUUAACUGGCGUGCCGCGGGACGUCCUGCCGGUGGGCCUAAGUCCGCAAGGGCGUCGGCCCGACCCAAUCCCGCCGCGGUGCUCUUCACUGAGUGUCGAGGUGGGCCGGCACGUUUACUUUGAACAAAUUAGAGUGCUUAAAGCAGGCUAAAACUUCGCCUGAAUACUGUGUGCAUGGAAUAAUGGAAUAGGACCUCGGUUCUAUUUUGUUGGUUUUCGGAACCCCGAGGUAAUGAUUAAUAGGAACGGAUGGGGGCAUUCGUAUUGCGACGUUAGAGGUGAAAUUCUUGGAUCGUCGCAAGACGGACAGAAGCGAAAGCAUU